CAUUAUACACCACACUACAGGCUACCGUGCUAAUGUUUCUAUUAUGUUCGCCAUUUGGCAGACCACGCCCUGCCGCCGACGAGUUUGUCUUUAUCUGGACAGCCCGUGUUACCAAACCCUCGUACUGGCUGGACCUGAUCUAGUGAAACAUCUGAGGCACCGGAGUAAUACUAGAGCUCGGCUUAACCCUUCAACUCUUGUGUACUGAACCGGAAAAGCAACUUCUUAACUCAAAGGACCUUAGUUAGGGCUCCCGUCCUUAGCAAAAGAGGGUACAUAAGUAAAAAUCAAAAAUGCUUAACCAAGUGUUGAAACGUGACCCUGCCUUUCUAGGGUUUGAAGACAGGGUUGCUUCAAGACUCGUUCUUGAUCUUUGAUUGCUCGGCAAUGCCUCUUUUUUGCUUAAGUCGAGAACCCUAACUGAGGUACUUCAAGCUAAACAGCUGAUUCGCAAGAGAAGCAUACUGACGAAAAUGUCGACCUAGGAGCUCCCGAGUUAAGAGAACUCCAAGACAUCGCCAUCCAGUUAACCAGCCAUGGUGAUUCAUACUUAUUUUUCCUCGUCUUGCAGACCGGAAAUAUAAAUCAUCUGUUGGACCCAAUUCCACCUCAUCCUCAACCCCAUCCUAACACACCAGGCCUUACCCGAGAUCAGCAAAGAACCCAAGAUUCGCACAGAACCUGCCCUAUUUUAAUCCAUCGGCAAAGUAGCUACUGACACCACCACCUUCCUGAUCAUAAGCCGACUCGACCUGCACCCAUCGAUAACAAACUUGCACAAAUCCGCAAUACCAUCCAAUAUCUCAGAGAUACCAAGAGCCCUGACGACCAAAUAUCGGCUAAGCACUGCAUCGAAUCAACGAAAUACGCCUGCUAACACAAACCCCAAAUUGCCCAAAACGAUCUGCUGUGCGUAUUGGAAAGAACGCGACAGCACCCUGCACUAUGUGGAUGCCCCAGUUUGGCAAAUGAAGGGCAACAGCCAAAAGCUUGCCCAUCCGAACGCCACCCUAACCCAGCUGGUCAAGCAGGACGUGUGGUUCCAUCAACAAGUCGACAAGCAACAGCCUGAACUUAGAAGCGUCCUCCAAAAAGAGGCUCUGAUCUCUUUAGCCCAAUAUGCAAUCACACAAGCCACUCAUAACAUCUACUCUGUUCUAGAUACUUGGACCCAAGCCCUACAUGGUCAAGCCACAGUGGAGCUUUUUCACCCCGAUAUGGUCCAAGACGCCCUCAAACGCUUAUCCAGUCAAGCCAGCGGACCUCUCAGGCUCACGUUUGAACCUACGGACUUGAAAACAUUUUUGGUCAAAAGCUGUACUUGCGUCCAGUGGCACUAUCAUGACCUUCUUCUUCUCUGAGAGUGCUUGCUUCACCCACUCAUUCACCUCCAUUAGAGCAAUGCUUGUUCUCCUUCCGGGUUGGAAGCCAUGGUGCCUAUCUGGAAUAAUGCCUCUCUUUUCAAUAUUGUCCUGGAGUUGUUUGCAUGCACCUGUCUCAACAAGCUUCCUAAGGCAGCUCGUUAGUCCAACGGGGCGAUAUAAGACAUGGAUCGCCUUACUUCCUUUUUUUCUUCCACACAGGUACUGUCCGGCGAGCAGUCUCCCAUCUUCCUUUAAGAUUUGAGCUUAGCUUCAACAAAAGAAUAAUCCAUACUGGAGGGAACAUUCUUCUCUCUUGUUCAAAGGCCAAAUGAGCAAUGGCGAGGACGGGUCAACCACUGGACCAACAUCAUUUUGGACAGAGGAGACCAUGGGACAAGGGAAGUCAGGACCAACUAUCCCAGGGGCUUUGCAAGCUUGGAGACUCAAAUAUGAAUCGUCCAAAUCUUCGCUCACCACCUCAGUGAUGUCACGGGGCUGAUGAUUCUCAUUCACUGAAAGAUCGGUCUUUGAAGUUCCAAAAAUGUUAUGCAGACGACCG
Long non-coding RNA from Tigriopus californicus, 1923 nucleotides. RefSeq lists it as uncharacterized. The transcript has 3 exons. The record is from RefSeq and is a predicted model, not a curated record. NCBI's taxonomy places the organism in Eukaryota, Metazoa, Arthropoda, Copepoda, Harpacticoida, Harpacticidae.